This is an RNA transcript of Osmerus eperlanus (European smelt), 2000 nucleotides long. It is a transcript of the gene named rhomboid, veinlet-like 2 (Drosophila), with no coding region annotated. The record is from RefSeq and is a predicted model, not a curated record. Lineage: Eukaryota; Metazoa; Chordata; Actinopteri; Osmeriformes; Osmeridae. The transcript is spliced from 9 exons.
CUCGACGGCUGCUUUUACAGGAUGUGAACUUCCACUUGUAUUUUGUUUAGAAUGAAGAUAAAUAGCCUACUGGGAACGCAUCAUUAGUCUGUUUGCAGGGAAGGAGGUUGAAACAGGAAAAGGUCUAUAAUUAUCUCGAGUAUUUUUCCCCGAAGAAGGCAGACGCACCGCGAGCGGGUUUUUUGUCUGUGGGUGUAGUUUUUCAGUGAAAAUGUCCGGAUACGCAGAAUUCGAGGUGAAGAAAUAAUUCAUGGGAUAGUUUUUUGUUGUUUUACUAACAAACAUUUGAAAAAUAAGUUCCUUAUACAGACCUAUGCUUUUUACGUUUGGAAACGUAAGCAACUUUUCAUUAAUCCGUAUUUAGCUCCUUAUUCACGCAAACACGAUCCUGACCUAGGACCCAGGAGGGUGGAUGGAGGACAUAGAUAUCGAGGAGCAGGCUCCCUUUCCUGUGGACAGAGAUGGGAAGCAGCUGGGGGAAGGAGAGGAGCGGAGGAAGGCUGGAUGUUGUGAGAAGCUGCACCAGUCUAUCUCCAGAUGGAUGCUUCCCUCUGACAUCCGAGAAACGUACCUGGAGCGUGCUAACUGCUGCCCGCCGCCAAUCUUCAUCAUCCUCAUCAGCAUUGGAGAGCUGGCUGUGUUUAUCUACUAUGCGGCGUGGAAGCCCCAGAAGCAGUGGGUGACCCUGGGGGAGGGCAUCUGGAACAGCCCUCUCACCUACAAGCCAGGCCUGCGCCAGGAUGCCUGGAGGUUCCUGUCCUACAUGUUCGUCCACGCCGGGGUACAGCAUAUCCUGGGUAACCUGGUGAUGCAGUUGCUGUUGGGCAUCCCUCUGGAGCUGGUCCACAAGGGCUUUGAGGUGGGCAUGGUCUACAUGGCCGGCGUCCUGGCAGGCUCUCUGGCCAGCUCCAUCUUCGACCCCCUCAGUGCCCUGGUGGGGGCGUCCGGAGGAGUCUAUGCCCUCAUGGGAGGCUACUUCAUGAACGCUGUAGUGAACUUCAGAGAGAUGAUUCCCCUGCUGGGGGUGUUCAGGAUACUGGUCAUCGUGAUGAUUGUGGGGACGGACGUUGGCUUCGCCCUCUACAGGAGGUUUCUCACUGACAGCGCUGGCAUGAAGGUCUCCUUCGUGGCCCACAUUGGUGGCGGAGUGGCGGGGAUGACCAUUGGCUACGUCUUCUUCUCCUGCUACGACAAGAAGCUGCUCAAGGACCCGCGCUUCUGGCUGUGCAUCGUGGGAUAUGUAGUCUUCAUCCUGUUCGCUGUGCUGUUCAACAUCUUCCUGUCUCCGGCUCCCUGAGGCCUCCUUCACUCUCACUGCAGGUGGGCGGGACCACCAUGUCUGUGCCGCAUGCUGAUAGGCUACUGUGCAGGGGCUGUAAAACAUCUGUGCUCUGAUUGGUUGUAUGCACUCCAAAGUUGAGCUUUUCUCAAAACAAUAUGGCGGUGGCCAUUUUAAACAUUUAUGUUGAGUCAAACGCACUUGUUCUUAGGAGUUGUAUUGAAACACAGCAGUCAGUAAACAUGCUGCACAGUCCAUAAACAUGCUGUGUAAAGUCCAUAAACAUGCUGUGUAAAGUCCAUAAACAUUUCCUGUAGUGAGAACGUCGAGGUAGAACCACACUCCUGCACAGCGACCAGGUGUGUCUAACCUCAGGGACGAAAUCAAACUACAGGGGUUUUAAUGAUUAUAUUUAGUUUAGGCUCUGGUCAGACUCUGGUCACUCUUCACACCCCCUCUGCUGUUCCUAAGUACAAUUACACAUAUCAGAAUGCUUUCUAAACGAAAUAUGUUAGUUUGUCUUUUACAUUUUAUUCAUAGUAUGUGUAAACUAAGAUGUUUUUCAUAUUUGUAAGGAUACAAUAUUUUGUUUGUGAAUUGUUAUACCUGUUUUUGUGUUUUUUAAGAUGGAAUGUUUUGAACUCCAAAUUAUGUUUUCACCGUUAAAGGGUUUUGUGAUUUUUUUUAUAUGGAAAAGAUGUGUGUGUGUGACAAAGUAUGC